Molecule: ribosomal RNA, 707 nt
Filed under: Serratia marcescens
Lineage: Bacteria; Pseudomonadati; Pseudomonadota; Gammaproteobacteria; Enterobacterales; Yersiniaceae
Description: bacterial SSU rRNA
Rfam family: Bacterial small subunit ribosomal RNA
Source: RNAcentral
AGGACGUAGAUGUCGAUUUGGAGGUUGUGCCCUUGAGGCGUGGCUUCCGGAGCUAACGCGUUAAAUCGACCGCCUGGGGAGUACGGCCGCAAGGUUAAAACUCAAAUGAAUUGACGGGGGCCCGCACAAGCGGUGGAGCAUGUGGUUUAAUUCGAUGCAACGCGAAGAACCUUACCUACUCUUGACAUCCAGAGAACUUUCCAGAGAUGGAUUGGUGCCUUCGGGAACUCUGAGACAGGUGCUGCAUGGCUGUCGUCAGCUCGUGUUGUGAAAUGUUGGGUUAAGUCCCGCAACGAGCGCAACCCUUAUCCUUUGUUGCCAGCGGUUCGGCCGGGAACUCAAAGGAGACUGCCAGUGAUAAACUGGAGGAAGGUGGGGAUGACGUCAAGUCAUCAUGGCCCUUACGAGUAGGGCUACACACGUGCUACAAUGGCGUAUACAAAGAGAAGCGACCUCGCGAGAGCAAGCGGACCUCAUAAAGUACGUCGUAGUCCGGAUUGGAGUCUGCAACUCGACUCCAUGAAGUCGGAAUCGCUAGUAAUCGUAGAUCAGAAUGCUACGGUGAAUACGUUCCCGGGCCUUGUACACACCGCCCGUCACACCAUGGGAGUGGGUUGCAAAAGAAGUAGGUAGCUUAACCUUCGGGAGGGCGCUUACCACUUUGUGAUUCAUGACUGGGGUGAAGUCGUAACAGGGAAACCCGUUAA